AACGCACGAGACCUGCGGACCUGCGGAGGGAUCAUUACCGAGUUCAUGCCCUCACGGGUAGAUCUCCCACCCUUGUGUAUUCUAUGUUUGUGUUGCUUUGGCAGGCCGUGGGCCUCGCCCACCACCGGCUCUCGGGCUGGUGUGCGCCUGCCAGAGGACUCUUUAAACUCUGUUUGUUAGUGUCGUCUGAGUAUGAUAACAAUCGUUAAAACUUUCAACAAUGGAUCUCUAGAUCGGAAG
RNAcentral lists this unclassified non-coding RNA (240 nucleotides) under soil metagenome. RNAcentral describes it as "partial contains 5.8S ribosomal RNA, internal transcribed spacer 2, and large subunit ribosomal RNA". The record is from RNAcentral.